CAGCAAACCAAUAUUCCCAUCAACCGGUACCAGGCGAGGGAGCUGAUAAAGAAGCUGGAAGAGAAGAAUGGUAUGGUUAACUUCAGUGGUUUUAAAAGCCUGAAAGUCACAGCAGCUGGUCAGCUCUGAAGAGAAGUGCCAAUAAAAGAAGUCCUGGCAAGUCGUGUGGCUCUGAGGAGACUAAGCCAAAGGCCAGAUGGAAAGAUACCACGACCAGAGCUAAGUGUGAGCAAAUAAAAUCUGGCUUGAUUCUGGGCA
Molecule: long non-coding RNA, 258 nt
Filed under: Rattus norvegicus (Norway rat)
Lineage: Eukaryota; Metazoa; Chordata; Mammalia; Rodentia; Muridae
Description: long non-coding RNA NONRATT024529
Source: RNAcentral